UUAUUAGAACAUAGUGUUAAUACAUCAGAUCCCAUUAGAACUUCGUAGUUAAGCACACUUAGUAUAGAUUAGUAUUGGGAUGGGUGACCUCCCGGGAAGUCUUAGUAUUUUACAUGC
Non-coding RNA from Picea glauca (white spruce), 117 nucleotides. NCBI's taxonomy places the organism in Eukaryota, Viridiplantae, Streptophyta, Pinopsida, Pinales, Pinaceae. The record is from Rfam.